Molecule: ribosomal RNA, 404 nt
Filed under: uncultured bacterium
Lineage: Bacteria
Description: partial 16S ribosomal RNA
Rfam family: Bacterial small subunit ribosomal RNA
Source: RNAcentral
GACGAACGCUGGCGGCGUGCCUAACACAUGCAAGUCGAACAGUGGCGAACGGGUGAGUAACACGUGAGUAACCUGCCCUCCACUUUGGGAUAACUCCGAGAAAUAGGGGCUAAUACUGGAUAGUGGGGGAUGGGGUCGGGGCCUAUCAGUUUGUUGGUGAGGUAGUGGUCACCAAGUGGUGACGGGUAGCUGGCCUGAGAGGGCGACCGGCCACCCUGGGACUGAGACACGGGCCAGACUCCUACGGGGGGCAGCAGUGGGGAAUAUUGCACAAUGGGCGAAGGCCUGAUGCAGCGACGCCGCGUGGGGGAUGACGGCCUUCGGGUUGUAAACCUCUUUCAGCAAGGAAGCGUUACUUGCAGAAGAAGCGCCGGCUAACUACGUGCCAGCCGCCGCGGUAAUUC